CGUCUUGAGAAGCUAUCAUACAUAAUGCAACGGUCUUGUAAACCGUAGAAAGGCCAACACCCCAAGACUA
This 70-nucleotide transfer RNA is filed under the name Quadrula quadrula (mapleleaf mussel). RNAcentral's name for it is "tRNA-Thr". The record is from RNAcentral. Lineage: Eukaryota; Metazoa; Mollusca; Bivalvia; Unionida; Unionidae.